RNAcentral lists this non-coding RNA (28 nucleotides) under Homo sapiens (human). The record is from RNAcentral. Lineage: Eukaryota; Metazoa; Chordata; Mammalia; Primates; Hominidae.
UAAAACGCAGGCCACUGGGCCACACCCC